UUGUGCAUUCUCCCGAAAAGUUUACAAGAAAUGUAACAAUGUCAGCAGAAAGAAAUCUCUGUGGCCACAAUAGUUGAAUGAGUUAAAAUGUAGUGCAAGUGGUGGCAGUGACAUUCAUUGCAUUUAACAUUGGCCUGUGCCUGUGACUUUGUUAGUGGAAUUUGAUAUUCUAUUCUUGAUAACAUUUUCUUUAAUAUUGUUGUAGUUGUUGUGGCAGUGUGUUGUACACUAAGUCGGCAUUCCUUGCCGAUGAAGGAAUCCAUCGGGUCAAUCCGGUACGUACAACGGGCUGCCAUGGGAUUGAAAUUUUCUUUGUGCUACACGAUUCGAAACUGGGAAUUCCAACCCGUGUGAUACUCAUAGACAUCCGGUACUGGAGGAAGUCUGUACUGACUGGUCAUUGCAACCUCAAGUCAUUGACGUUGCUCUGCAUGCAGGAAAGUUGUUGUAGCAGUGUGUUGUACACUGAGACGGCAGCCCUUUAAAGACGUCAUUUGGUCAACCCGGUACGUACAACCGGCUUUAAUCCCGAUUCCUAAAUUUUUUCUGAUGUUCUGCCAGGUUUCGAUCCCGGGCGUUCAGCGUUAUAGGCGGACGUGCUAAUCUCUGACCUCCCCAAGAUAUAUUCAUUUUAAGGUAGUGGCAGUUGCCCAACAGCAAAAUAUUGAGUGCAUUAUCUGUCAAAAUCAGUGAUUAGUGCAACUCUGAUUUUGUGUAUGUAACUAGUUCGCACCAUUUUUCGUUGUUUGCGUGUUAUGGUUCUUAACCAUAAAACACACAUACACAAACAAAACUCGUUGACAGAUAGUGCACUUUGCGGAAAAAAAUUGUACUCAGCUGUUUACGGUACACUACCUGGUUAUCCCCUGCGUAUUGUCCAAAAAAGAAAAAUUAUUAAUCACGCUUCAAUCUAAAGAGACAAGAACCUCGAAUAUCGUUUGUUUUCUUUUUCGAGAAUAUAAACCUGUCAACAGUGGUGUUACCUUCAACAGAGUGUUGCCAAGAUCGCCACAAUACCCUAUAGAGUUCCAAUAAAAAAAAACAGCACUAUUUUAUUUGGUAUAACAGAAUGCCAUAAGCUUGUAAAUGGCAUGGUUAUAUAAAACUAUAACUAGUGUAUAUAUUUUAAAAUGGAUAAACUUAUGUUUCCGGUCAAUAAACAAAUAGUAUAUAGUUUGUGACACUGGGUCAUUCAA
Stomoxys calcitrans (stable fly) is the source of this 1196-nucleotide long non-coding RNA. RefSeq lists it as uncharacterized. The record is from RefSeq and is a predicted model, not a curated record. Lineage: Eukaryota; Metazoa; Arthropoda; Insecta; Diptera; Muscidae. The transcript has 2 exons.